RNAcentral lists this ribosomal RNA (249 nucleotides) under uncultured Blastocatellia bacterium. RNAcentral's name for it is "partial 16S ribosomal RNA". It matches the Rfam family "Bacterial small subunit ribosomal RNA", at positions 524 to 772 of the family's 1533-position model. The record is from RNAcentral. Lineage: Bacteria; Pseudomonadati; Acidobacteriota; Blastocatellia.
UACGGGGGGAGCAAGCGUUGUUCGGAUUUACUGGGCGUAAAGGGCGCGUAGGCGGCCACCGCAAGUCGACUGUGAAAUCUCCGGGCUUAACCCGGAAAGGUCAGCCGAUACUGCGGGCUAGAGUCCGGAAGGGGCAACUGGAAUUCCAGGUGUAGCGGUGAAAUGCGUAGAUAUCGAGAGGAACACCUGCGGCGAAGGCGGGUUGCUGGGCUGACACUGACGCUGAGGCGCGAAAGCCAGGGGAGCGAA